This 439-nucleotide ribosomal RNA is filed under the name uncultured bacterium. RNAcentral's name for it is "bacterial SSU rRNA". It matches the Rfam family "Bacterial small subunit ribosomal RNA", at positions 32 to 454 of the family's 1533-position model. The record is from RNAcentral.
AAUCAACGCUGGCGGCGUGCCUCAGACAUGCAAGUCGAACGAGAACCUCCCUUCGGGGAGGGGACAGUGGCGCACGGGUGAGUAACACGUGGGUAAUUUACCUUUGGGUGGGGAACAACAGCCGGAAACGGCUGCUAAUACCGCAUAAUGCAGCGGCUCGACAUCGAGACAGUUGUUAAAGCGGGGGAUCGCAAGACCUCGCGCCUGAAGAGAAGCCUGCGGCGGAUUAGCAGUUGGUAGGGUAAUGGCCUACCAAGGCGACGAUCUGUAACCGGCCUGAGAGGGCGGUCGGUCACACUGACACUGACAUACGGGUCAGACUCCUACGGGAGGCAGCAGUCGGGAAUUUUGGGCAAUGGGCGAAAGCCUGACCCAGCAACGCCGCGUGAAGGAUGAAGCUUUUCGGAGUGUAAACUUCAUAAGAAUGGGAAGAAUAAGU